AAUAAAGUGCCUGAAAAAAGGAUUAUUCUGAUAGAGUAAAUUAUGUAGAAUUCUACCUUUAUUA
This 64-nucleotide transfer RNA is filed under the name Grapholita delineana. Its description in RNAcentral is "tRNA-Ile". Lineage: Eukaryota; Metazoa; Arthropoda; Insecta; Lepidoptera; Tortricidae. The record is from RNAcentral.